This is a long non-coding RNA of Arabidopsis thaliana (thale cress), 449 nucleotides long. RefSeq annotates it as other RNA. The transcript has 2 exons. NCBI's taxonomy places the organism in Eukaryota, Viridiplantae, Streptophyta, Magnoliopsida, Brassicales, Brassicaceae. The record is from RefSeq.
ACUCCUCCAGAUGAUGAUGACGAUGGAAUGUUCGUAACAUUCUCUGAAUUAGGGAUGUAUGUAGGCAUGUACCCUGAGUUCAUAGGUGGUGGUGGUGGCUGCAUCGGUGGAGGAUAGUAAGGUUGUUGCAUUUGUGGGUUGGUGUUGGUCAUUGGAGGGUUAGGCAUUGAUGAGUGGUGGUUAUAUGAUGGGGGAACUGAGAAUGGGUUUGACUGGUCCAUUGGAGCAAAUGGAUACUGCGAUGAACCAGCCAUGUAAUCCUGUCCUGAAGUGUUGUAAUCUGAGUUGUUCGAGAGCAUGACUCCUCCAAAAUCUCCUGCACAAAAGAAGAAGAGAAAGAUGGUGAGCGCUCUCCUUCAGACAAACCCAUCUUAAAAACGCUAAGAUCUCGAAAUCGGAUAUUCGGAAACCCAAAUUUAAGGUUCUUCAAGAAUUGAGUUACAGGAAAC